Molecule: long non-coding RNA, 230 nt
Filed under: Trifolium pratense (red clover)
Lineage: Eukaryota; Viridiplantae; Streptophyta; Magnoliopsida; Fabales; Fabaceae
Description: long non-coding RNA (TPRA_LNC002763)
Source: RNAcentral
CGGGAAGAAGAGUGGUAGUGGUGGUGGCUACUAAAUUUGUUCUAAACCCAGCACUUACUCAAUUAUUAAAAAUGAAUAUUAAAUUUUAGAUGAUGAUAAAUUGUUUUGCUUUUGUGAGUUUUAAAUUUUUGACCUGUUUUUCGAUUUGGAUCUGUGAGGGAGGAGGUGGUGGUGAUUGGAAGAAGAAGAUGAUUCUGUUGUACAAGGAUAGAGACUUCAAUGGUUUUUUU